CUUAAGCCAACCCACAUUUCUCUUUAGUUGGCAGACAGAUCAAUUAAGUAUCCAAAAGGGAUCUUGGAGAAUGUACCACUGAAGUUUGAAAAAUUCUACAUCCCAGUUGACUUUGUCAUUUUGGACAUGGAAGAGGAUUCUCAUAUGCCAAUCAUUUUGGGGAGGCCUUUCCUAGCUACAGCUGGUGCUUUGAUUGACGUGAAAGGUGAGAAGCUUACUCUCAGAGUCGGAGAGGAUCAUUUAGUCUUCAACAUUGGCAAUGAUAAGAAGAAGCAACAUGAAGAUGUAGACUCUUGUUUGAGAAUUGAUAUAGUUGAUGAGUUAGUAAAAGAGCACUUUAGAAAGAGCUAUCCGAAGGCUUCUCUUGAAAGUUGUCUUAUCCAUGAAGGGAGUAUCAAUGAUGAAAAUCCAAAAGAGGCUGCAUUUGCACAAGAUUUGAAUAGUAAUCCACCUUGUCCUAUGGCACCAAUCUUUCAAGUUGAGCAAGUGGAGAAAAGUGAAGUAAAGCAACCAUCUCUCAAAGAAAAAGAUGCACCAAAGGUUGUCAAGAAAGAAAUGGUCGGAUUUUUAGACAAAGCAACAAGGAUCUUCUCAUGUGAUGGAAAGAAAAUGAAGUAUAGAUUCAUUGAAGCACCUAUUGGAAACAGAGGCAAUAAAUUCCAAUUCCAGCCACCAUGAAACAUGACAAGAGUCCAGCUAAGGACUAUAAAUUA
This 713-nucleotide unclassified non-coding RNA is filed under the name Hevea brasiliensis (rubber tree). Lineage: Eukaryota; Viridiplantae; Streptophyta; Magnoliopsida; Malpighiales; Euphorbiaceae. The record is from RNAcentral.